UCAUAUUGCUGCUGGUGAUACUGAGAAAGGGGAGCUGCUGGUUAAGGACGUGUUGGAAACAGCAUCUUCUCCCUUUGACGCAUAUAGCUCUCUCUCCAGUGCAUGUUACCAAUGUAAUCCUAUGAUGGAUAAAGCGUUAUACUGGGCAGAGCAGACCAUUGAGCUUGAUCCGAGAGAAAAUCCCGGUCUACUAAAUACGUACGCUGAAUUGUUAUUUGCCAAUGGCCAAAUUCAGAAGGCUGUGGAAGUAGCUACGCAGGU
RNAcentral lists this ribosomal RNA (261 nucleotides) under uncultured eukaryote. RNAcentral's name for it is "partial small subunit ribosomal RNA". The record is from RNAcentral.